Molecule: ribosomal RNA, 260 nt
Filed under: uncultured bacterium
Lineage: Bacteria
Description: partial 16S ribosomal RNA
Rfam family: Bacterial small subunit ribosomal RNA
Source: RNAcentral
GUCCACGCGGUAAACGAUGAAUGCUAGGUGUCGGGAGCAAAGCUCUUCGGUGCCGCCGCAAACGCAUUAAGCAUUCCACCUGGGGAGUACGUUCGCAAGAAUGAAACUCAAAGGAAUUGACGGGGCCCGCACAAGCGGAGGAACAUGUGGUUUAAUUCGAUGAUACGCGAGGAACCUUACCCGGGUUUGAACGUAGUCAGACCGGCCUUGAAAGACGUCUUCUAGCAAUAGCUGAUUACGAGGUGCUGCAUGGUUGUCGU